AGGGUUUGAUCCUGGCUCAGGAUGAACGCUAGCGGCAGGCUUAACACAUGCAAGUCGAGGGGCAGCGGGGGAGCGGCGACGCUCCUGCCGGCGACCGGCGCACGGGUGAGUAACGCGUAUGCGACCUGCCCCCCGCAGGGGGAUAACCGGGAGAAAUCCCGACUAAUACCCCAUAUUCCGAAAGGCUGCAUGGCCUUUCGGCGAAAGGGCUACCGGCGGGGGAUGGGCAUGCGUGGCAUUAGGAAGUUGGCGGGGCAACGGCCCACCAAUCCAUCGAUGCCUAGGGGUUCUGAGAGGAAGGUCCCCCACACUGGCACUGAGACACGGGCCAG
This 332-nucleotide ribosomal RNA is filed under the name uncultured bacterium. RNAcentral's name for it is "bacterial SSU rRNA". It matches the Rfam family "Bacterial small subunit ribosomal RNA", at positions 8 to 334 of the family's 1533-position model. The record is from RNAcentral.